GUGGGGAAUCUUAGACAAUGGGGGAAACCCUGAUCUAGCCAUGCCGCGUGAGCGAUGAAGGCCUUAGGGUUGUAAAGCUCUUUCAGCUGGGAAGAUAAUGACGGUACCAGCAGAAGAAGCCCCGGCUAACUCCGUGCCAGCAGCCGCGGUAAUACGGAGGGGGCUAGCGUUGUUCGGAAUUACUGGGCGUAAAGCGCACGUAGGCGGACCGGAAAGUCAGAGGUGAAAUCCCAGGGCUCAACCUUGGAACUGCCUUUGAAACUCCUGGUCUUGAGGUCGAGAGAGGUGAGUGGAAUUCCGAGUGUAGAGGUGAAAUUCGUAGAUAUUCGGAGGAACACCAGUGGCGAAGGCGGCUCACUGGCUCGAUACUGACGCUGAGGUGCGAAAGCGUGGGGAGCAAACAGGAUUAGAUACCCGGGUAGUCC
This 425-nucleotide ribosomal RNA is filed under the name uncultured bacterium. RNAcentral describes it as "partial 16S ribosomal RNA". It matches the Rfam family "Bacterial small subunit ribosomal RNA", at positions 354 to 796 of the family's 1533-position model. The record is from RNAcentral.